This 303-nucleotide unclassified non-coding RNA is filed under the name Hevea brasiliensis (rubber tree). Lineage: Eukaryota; Viridiplantae; Streptophyta; Magnoliopsida; Malpighiales; Euphorbiaceae. The record is from RNAcentral.
AUUCAUGAUUCUCUGUUGUUAUGGGUUUUUAGAUUCAUUUAUGUCCCUGUUGUAAAUGAACUGGGAUUUCAAUUUAAUGUAGGUUUUGUCUGGUUAAUGGGGUGUAACUGAAAUCUAAAGGAAUAAUUUUUUUGAUUACUAUCAUGUUUUGGAUGCUAAAGGAUCCGAUUAUGGAUUUGGACAAUGAAUAAUGAAUAUUGUGCAUAAGAUCCUUGAAGGGUCUUUUGCUUUUCUUGUAGUUAGAUUCCCAUUUUCUUAAUUUGCGAUUAUAAUAUGACCCCUUUUUGCUUGAACAUCAAGCUA